GCCGGUGUGGUGGAAUGGCAGACGCGGCGGACUCAAAAUCCGCUGUCCGCAAGGGCAUGAGAGUUCGAAUCUCUCCACCGGCA
Molecule: transfer RNA, 83 nt
Filed under: Nitrospirota bacterium
Lineage: Bacteria; Pseudomonadati; Nitrospirota
Description: Nitrospirae bacterium (groundwater metagenome) tRNA-Leu
Rfam family: tRNA
About the family: Transfer RNA (tRNA) molecules are approximately 80 nucleotides in length. Their secondary structure includes four short double-helical elements and three loops (D, anti-codon, and T loops).
Source: RNAcentral